UUAUUUGCUUUCCAUACUUUGAAUAACAAUUGAGAAUACACGCAUGAUAAAAUCAUUGCAUGUCAGUGGUACGUACUAUCAGUUGUUUAAUUUCUCUUAUUCCAAAAUCCAAAUGAUGGCAACUUAAUGCCCUUGGCUGAAUGAUGAUGAAAAGAAAGGAAAUUCGUUCAUUUAUUCUAAUUUAUUAGUUGUGAUAUUCAUUGUGAUGUCUAAAAAAGGAAGUAAUUCCGAGAAAGCGGAACCGUGGUGGAAGCAGUACAGGUGAGAACCUCACCAUCUGCUGUCACUGUAUAUGUUUCUGGAUCUACUGUGAUAUUAGGAAGGGCAUCAUUGAGCUUCAUGUCAAGUUUAGUGAGUCUCCUAACAUUGCCUACGGCUUCCACUCUUUUGCUGAGUCCAUACAAAGCCUUUAUCCCAUUAUACGCUGCGAUCUUGCUGACAAAAGCAACGGAGUUAGCACUUCCAGCCUUGCCAAAGGCUCCAAACAUAGGUCUUGAAAUCACCGGUUCAGGUGUGGGGAUGCUUGCAUUUGGAUCACCCAUUUCAGCCCAUGCAAUUACACCACCCUUAAUCACCAUUUCUGGUUUUGCCCCAAAGAAAGAAGGCUUCCAUAAAACAAGAUCAGCCAACUUUCCCACCUCAACUGAACCAAUUAAUUCAGCAAACCCAUUUGCUACUGCUGGGUUUAUAGUGUACUUUGCAAUAUAUCGUUUGAUACGGAAGUUAUCAUUGUCUGAUCCACCAGGACCAAUUGAUCCCCUAUGUGAUUUCAUUUUGUGAGCAGUUUGCCAAGUUCUGCUUAUGACCUCUCCAAUGCGUCCCAUAGCUUGCGAAUCAGAAGAUAUAAUGCUAAUUGCCCCCAAAUCAUGCAAUAUAUCCUCCGCAGCGAUUGUUUCAGCCCUUAUCCUUGAUUCAGCAAAAGCUACAUCUUCUGGAAUGUCUUUGUCAAGAUGAUGGCAGACCAUCAGCAUAUCAAGAUGUUCAUCGAUGGUAUUGGAAGUGUAAGGCCGGGUAGGGUUUGUUGAUGACGGUAGGACAUUUUUUACACCACAUACUUUGAUAAUAUCUGGAGCAUGACCUCCACCUGCACCUUCACUGUGAUACGCAUGAAUUGUUCUUCCUUUAAAUGCAGCAAUUGUGUGUUCCACGAAUCCAGAUUCAUUCAAGGUGUCUGUGUGGAUAUUGACCUGUAUGUCAUAUUCUUCUGCGACAGUCAAACAAUUGUCUAUUGCAGCAGGAGUAGUUCCCCAGUCCUCAUGCAACUUUAGUCCCAUUGCCCCAGCCUUGAUUAUUUCUUGUAGCUCAUCAGGUUUGGCACCAUUACCUUUUCCAGUGAACCCAAAAUUCAGAGGCAGGUCAUCAGUAGAUUGCAGCAUCAAUUUCAUUUGUGAUGGAGCAGGAGUGCAGGUAGUUGCACGUGUCCCAUCAGCGGGUCCUGUUCCACCUCCCACAAGUGUUGUGAUGCCACUUGAUAUUGCCUCGUAUGCAAGCUGGGGGCAUAUGAAGUGCACAUGACAAUCUAUGGCCCCUGCAGUUACAAUCAUUCCUUCGCCCGCAAUAACCUCAGUGUUAACUCCAAUGAUCAUAUCAGAAUGAACAUUAUUCAUGAUAUCAGGAUUUCCUGCUUUUCCAAUAGCAGCAAUAAGACCACCUCUAAUACCAAUAUCUGCCUUGUAGAUUCCACUGUAAUCAAUGAUCACAGCAUUUGUUAUCACAGCAUCAAGAGAGUCAACUGGUUGAUGCCCACAUGACUGGCCCAUUCCAUCCCUUAUAACUUUCCCACCUCCAAAAACACAUUCAUCCCCAUAAAUAGCAAAAUCUCUUUCAAUUUCAGCAUAAAGAUUGGUAUCACCAAGCCGGAUUUUGUCACCCGUAGUAGGGCCGUACAUGUUAGCAUAGGCCUCAUGAGAAACAACAGUGGUGAAAUCAGAAUCUUCUCCAGUUACACCUUCACGAGCAUUUUCUUCUUCCUGAUUCCCAAAUCCUCUUGAUUUUACAGUUUCUGAUACUGCUGCAUAAUUGGCAUCAUCAACUGGACCAUCAACAAUGCCAUUUCCGCCUCUGAUAACCUUUUU
RNAcentral lists this unclassified non-coding RNA (2075 nucleotides) under Hevea brasiliensis (rubber tree). The stretch from base 1480 to 1772 matches the Rfam family "5' ureB small RNA". Lineage: Eukaryota; Viridiplantae; Streptophyta; Magnoliopsida; Malpighiales; Euphorbiaceae. The record is from RNAcentral.